RNAcentral lists this ribosomal RNA (253 nucleotides) under uncultured bacterium. Its description in RNAcentral is "partial 16S ribosomal RNA". It matches the Rfam family "Bacterial small subunit ribosomal RNA", at positions 524 to 776 of the family's 1533-position model. The record is from RNAcentral.
UACGGAGGGUGCAAGCAUUACUCGGAAUUAUUGGGCGUAAAGGGCGCGUAGGCGGCCUUGUAAGUCAGAAGUAAAAUUCCGGAACUCAACGCCGGAGCUGCUUUUGAAACUGCAAGGCUAGAGGAUAGAAUGUGAAAGCGGAAUUCCACGUGUAGCGGUGAAAUGCGUAGAUAUGUGGAAGAACACCGGAAGCGAAAGCGGCUUUCAAAUCUAUAACUGACGCUGAGGCGCGAAAGCGUGGGGAGCAAACAGG